UACGUAGGGUGCAAGCGUUGUCCGGAAUUAUUGGGCGUAAAGAGCUCGUAGGCGGUGUGUCGCGUCGGCCGUGAAAACCUGGGGCUCAACUCUGGGCGUGCGGUCGAUACGGGCAUCACUUGAGUUCGGCAGGGGAGACUGGAAUUCCUGGUGUAGCGGUGAAAUGCGCAGAUAUCAGGAGGAACACCGGUGGCGAAGGCGGGGUCUCUGGGCCGAUACUGACGCUGAGGAGCGAAAGCAUGGGUAGCGAACAGG
Molecule: ribosomal RNA, 255 nt
Filed under: uncultured bacterium
Lineage: Bacteria
Description: partial 16S ribosomal RNA
Rfam family: Bacterial small subunit ribosomal RNA
Source: RNAcentral